ACUGUAAGUUGGUAGUGAAAGCGUGGGGCUCAACCCCGGAACUGCCUUUGAAACUAGGUUGCUAGAAUCUUGGAGAGGUCAGUGGAAUUCCGAGUGUAGAGGUGAAAUUCGUAGAUAUUCGGAAGAACACCAGUGGCGAAGGCGACUGACUGGACAAGUAUUGACGCUGAGGUGCGAAAGCGUGGGGAGCAAACA
RNAcentral lists this ribosomal RNA (195 nucleotides) under uncultured bacterium. Its description in RNAcentral is "partial 16S ribosomal RNA". It matches the Rfam family "Bacterial small subunit ribosomal RNA", at positions 580 to 774 of the family's 1533-position model. The record is from RNAcentral.